This 514-nucleotide ribosomal RNA is filed under the name uncultured bacterium. RNAcentral's name for it is "bacterial LSU rRNA". It matches the Rfam family "Bacterial large subunit ribosomal RNA", at positions 749 to 1258 of the family's 2925-position model. The record is from RNAcentral.
AGUUGCUGUAACAGGCAAUGGAGGUCCGAACCAGUUUACGUUGAAAAGUAUUUGGAUGAGUUGUGGGUAGGGGUGAAAGGCCAAUCAAACUGGGAGAUAGCUCGUACUCCCCGAAAUGUCUUUAGGGACAGCCUUGUUAUUAAAGUGUGCCAGAGGUAGAGCUACUGAUUGGACUAGGGGGUUUCAUCGCCUACCAAAUCCUGACAAACUCCGAAUGCUGGUACAUAUAGACAGGAGUGAGGCUGCGGGUGCUAAGGCCCGUGGCCGAGAGGGGAACAACCCAGACCAUCAGCUAAGGUCUCUAAAUAUAUGCUAAGUUGGAUAAACGUGGUGCGAUUGCUAAGACAGCUAGGAUGUUAGCUUGGAAGCAGCUAUUCAUUUAAAGAGUGCGUAACAGCUCACUAGUCGAGUGGUCGUGCGCGGAAAAUAAUCGGGCAUCAAGCAUAUUACCGAAGCUAUGGAUUGUACUUAUAGUACAGUGGUAGGGGAGGCAUUCUGGUCUGCGUUGAAGGUG